GACAGAGUGAGGGAGGGAAGGGGUGACUAGUGACAGAGUGAGGGAGGUGGUGAUUAGUGACAGAGGGAAGGAUGGGGUGACUAGUGACAGUCACCACCUCCUUCACUCUGUCACUAGUCACCCCCUCCCUCACUCUGUCACU
Pelobates cultripes (western spadefoot toad) is the source of this 142-nucleotide non-coding RNA. The record is from the annotation of a GenBank genome assembly. NCBI's taxonomy places the organism in Eukaryota, Metazoa, Chordata, Amphibia, Anura, Pelobatidae.